UUAUGGCCAUAUCACGUCGAAACAUUGGUUCCCGUAUGAUCACCAGAGUUAAGCAACAUCAAGGCUGGUCAGUAGCUAGAUGGGUGAUCGCUUGGGAAUACCAGAUGCUAUA
Acanthosepion pharaonis is the source of this 112-nucleotide non-coding RNA. Lineage: Eukaryota; Metazoa; Mollusca; Cephalopoda; Sepiida; Sepiidae. The record is from the annotation of a GenBank genome assembly.